UACGGGGGGGGCAAGCGUUGUUCGGAAUUACUGGGCGUAAAGGGUUUGUAGGUGGCUUGCUAAGUCAGACGUGAAAUCCCUCAGCUUAACUGGGGAACUGCGUCUGAGACUGGCAAGCUUGAGUGCAGGAGAGGAACGCGGAAUUCCAGGUGUAGCGGUGAAAUGCGUAGAUAUCUGGAGGAACACCGGUGGCGAAGGCGGCGUUCUGGACUGUAACUGACACUGAGGCACGAAAGCGUGGGGAGCAAACAGG
RNAcentral lists this ribosomal RNA (253 nucleotides) under uncultured bacterium. RNAcentral's name for it is "partial 16S ribosomal RNA". It matches the Rfam family "Bacterial small subunit ribosomal RNA", at positions 524 to 776 of the family's 1533-position model. The record is from RNAcentral.